CGGACAGACGAAGCGGCGACUAUAUGCUCCCCCCAAAAAUGUUGGGGGAGUAUAAAAACUCUAUGAAUUAUUGGCUAAAAAGAUCACAAAUUAAAACUGAGUUUCUUUAUUACACUAACAAUCACUGAGCGUUGAUAUAAACUGAGGUAAUCCCAUCUUUAAACAUUUAUUAAUUUAUACCGCAAAAUCAAUAUAUCAAUUUCAAGGCAUAUUUAAUUCAACAUGUACAAAUAAUUUUCUGAAUAUCAGUUGCUUUUUUUGUUAGGUCACAGUGACCUUGACCUUUGACCUAGUGACCCAAAAAUGGAUGUGACAUGUAGAACUCAUCAAGGUGCAUCUACAUAUGAAGUUUCAAUGUUGUAGGUGGAAGCACUUUGACUUUAGAGCCUUUGUUAAAGUUUUAUAUUAGAGGUCACAGUGACCUUGACCUUUGACCUAGUGACCCAAAAAUGGGUGUGGCGUGUAGAACUCAUCAAGGUGCAUCUACCUACGGCGGAUGGUGGACAACGAGCUCGCAAUGACAAUACCUCG
Long non-coding RNA from Dreissena polymorpha, 531 nucleotides. RefSeq lists it as uncharacterized. The transcript is spliced from 2 exons. Lineage: Eukaryota; Metazoa; Mollusca; Bivalvia; Myida; Dreissenidae. The record is from RefSeq and is a predicted model, not a curated record.